AGGAACUUGGAAUAACUUGCAGUGUCUUGCAGUAUUGUGAAACCAGCAACUUGUUCACAAUUCUUCUGAAUUUCUUGGGAAAUUUGAAGUGGAGUACCUGUACCAACAUGAAAUGACACGAAUUUAAGUGAAGCUCAACAACGAAAAGCAAAAAGAACCAAAGAGGAAGCAACUGAAACAACAUCUGGAUGUAUUUAAAAAUAUACAAUGCCUCCAAAAUCAGGUGUCAUUAAUGAAAAUUCUGAAGAAAUGCCACCGGACAUAGCCAACACACCUACGCUAUUGUUAUUCAUUUCCUGCUUUUCACAGAAAACAAUUUUGUUGCAUGGAAGAUUGUGAACUUCAAAGAGCAGAGGGGAAACUCUCCCUUGGCCCCUACCCCUCCAAGGCCCCACUUUUUCGUCAACACUCCUUGGACGCAGCAGAAGUAUGAACAUAAUAUGGUCCUGAAUGAGGCUGAGUCUUUGGGCGCAGAAGACCCGGGUUAAUAAAAAUAGGAAGGUAAGAAAAGAAAAGAAAAAUCAAGACACAUCAUAGGACUAAAUUCCUAUUAUUUAUCCACUCAGGAUUGACCACCCUUUUGGGCCAGAUAGUUGUACCCCCAUGUACCAGGUGGGCACAUGAAGACACAAGAAGUGCUGUGAUGGUUCAUUUUGCAUGUCACCUUGCGUGGAGUAUGCCAACUCAUUGUUUGGUCAAAUGCUAGUCUGGACAUGGUGGUAAAGGUAUUUUUUAGAUGAGAUUAACGCUUAAAUCAGUAAAGCAGGUUACCCACCAUACUAUGGGUGGGCCCUGUCCAAUCAGUUGAAGGCAUUAAGAACAAAGAUUGAGGUUUCCUAAAGAAGAUGGAAUUCUCCUUGAGACUACAACAUAGAAACCCUAUCUGAGUUUCCAGCCUGCUGCCCUGUGGAAUUCGAACUCAGGACUCCAGUCUAUGACAUUAACCCUCACUUAACUUUUCAGCCUGCCAGCCUGCCCUAUGGAUUUCAGACUUGCCAGCCACACAAUUCCUUAAAAUAAAUCUCUCUGUCUCUGUC
Molecule: long non-coding RNA, 1037 nt
Filed under: Pan troglodytes (chimpanzee)
Lineage: Eukaryota; Metazoa; Chordata; Mammalia; Primates; Hominidae
Description: lincRNA
Source: RNAcentral